UGGUAGCAAGAUUUUGGUUACUCUAAUGG
RNAcentral lists this non-coding RNA (29 nucleotides) under Mus musculus (house mouse). The record is from RNAcentral. Lineage: Eukaryota; Metazoa; Chordata; Mammalia; Rodentia; Muridae.